RNAcentral lists this transfer RNA (76 nucleotides) under Klebsiella aerogenes. RNAcentral describes it as "tRNA-Val". It matches the Rfam family "tRNA". Rfam says of the family: Transfer RNA (tRNA) molecules are approximately 80 nucleotides in length. The record is from RNAcentral. Lineage: Bacteria; Pseudomonadati; Pseudomonadota; Gammaproteobacteria; Enterobacterales; Enterobacteriaceae. RNAcentral also lists the same sequence under 2 other names.
GGUUGAUUAGCUCAGCUGGGAGAGCACCUCCCUUACAAGGAGGGGGUCGGCGGUUCGAUCCCGUCAUCACCCACCA